GUGUACCAGGCACUCUUCUAGGAAAUUAGAAAUCAUCAGUGAACAAAACAGACGAAAAUUCUGACCACCAGGAUGCUACAUUCUAGAGGGGAGAGACAAAGAAACGAAAUUGUGACUGUCACCAGGCAGACGAUUCUCGGUUAGCUGCUGAGUUGGUUGGUUUCGUCCACCUGCAGAUCUUGAGGAAAGGAGAUCCUUCCACUCCGCCUGGUGCCACCUGCAGCAUCUUCCAGGGACGUGGCGCAUCAGCAUUAGGGAAUCUCAGAGUCGGCGGGAUCCCAGGGAUGGCCUGUCCACCUCGGGCGAAGUGACCGCUCAAGGGCACACGCAUGGCCCUCGUGUCCGUCCCGGGGCCGGGGAAUCUCAUCCGCGGCACACAGCGCGUUCCUCCUCAUAAACGAUAAGAUAAUGGAUGAAAGAUGCAUAACCAGUUCACAGGUAUCCACGACAUCGGGAGAAAGUAAAGGACAUGGAUGUAUAUACUGAAGUCAGAUCUUGACUGCCUUACUUCAUUAAGUUAAUUUAACCUAACUGACACACCUUCUACCUCUAGAAGGUUCUACAUCGGGCUUGAGAAAGUCAGCACUCAGCCACCAGGUUUGCUGGCUAAAUGGUGCAUUUGGACAAUAGGAGGUCUGAGUGGGGGGCCCACACAGCCACUUGCACAUGUGAUGCACAAAAAGCAGGGAGAGGAAAGUGCAAACACCCGUUAGCACCUUGUUGCUUUAAUUAACUGACUUUCUAAGCCUGAAGGGUAAAGAUGUUAGUUUGCCAUCACGCCUCUGAUUUAUUCAUUUCCCAAUAGCGAAACCACAGCCUGAUGGGAAGCAGGUACAGUGUGACCUGUUAGAUGAUCAGCUUCUGCAGAAUAUCUUUUCCUGUUGCAUUGCCCAAAGGUAUGAUGCUUUUGGAAAUCUCCUUAAUUUGGAAUGUUAUUGCUGCCAUUUCAAAAGGGAGAGGGAAAACAAACGUUCCCUUUUUCAUUAGUUUUAAUGUCACUCCUCUAAAGUAGUGGUGUCAAAUAAUACACUUCUAAAAUUUAUUUCUGGGGAGCACUCCUUAUGAGGCCCUGAAAUUUCUGACUCGUCACCUAAAGAAAAUUGGCAUUUUCAGAGCUAGUCCAUGAUGGACCAGGAAGUUGGGAAUUUGCCCCAGGAGGGCUGUGCCGCGGUAAUUUGCACUAAAAUGAAAAUCUUCAUGUUUAUCACCUCCUUUCACCUAUAAAGCAACUCUGGGGCUUCCCUGGUGGCACCGUGGUUAAGAAUCCGUUUGCCAAUGUAGGGGACACAGG
Long non-coding RNA from Aethalodelphis obliquidens (Pacific white-sided dolphin), 1291 nucleotides. RefSeq lists it as uncharacterized. The transcript has 3 exons. The record is from RefSeq and is a predicted model, not a curated record. Lineage: Eukaryota; Metazoa; Chordata; Mammalia; Artiodactyla; Delphinidae.